CGAGGGGGCCGCAGUGAAAAGGCCCAAGCGACUGUUUAGCAAAAACACAGGUCUGUGCGAAGCCGCAAGGCGAAGUAUACGGGCUGACGCCUGCCCGGUGCUGGAAGGUUAAGGGGAGUGGUAAGCCCUUCGGGGCGAAGCUAUGAACCGAAGCCCCAGUAAACGGCGGCCGUAACUAUAACGGUCCUAAGGUAGCGAAAUUCCUUGUCAGGUAAAUUCUGACCCGCACGAAUGGCGUAACGACUUGGGCGCUGUCUCAACGAGAGAUCCGGUGAAAUUUUAAUACCUGUGAAGAUGCAGGUUACCCGCGACAAGACGGAAAGACCCCAUGGAGCUUUACUGCAGCUUGAUAUUGAAUUUGGGUACGAUCUGUACAGGAUAGGUGGGAGCCGUUGAACUUUGAGCGCCAGCUUGAAGGGAGGCAUCCUUGGGAUACCACCCUGAUCGUAUCUAGGUUCUAACUUGGUACCGUAAUCCGGUACGAGGACAGUGUCAGGUGGGCAGUUUGACUGGGGCGGUCGCCUCCUAAAGAGUAACGGAGGCGCCCCAAGGUUCCCUCAGAAUGGUUGGAAAUCAUUCGAAGAGUGCAAAGGCAGAAGGGAGCUUGA
RNAcentral lists this ribosomal RNA (608 nucleotides) under Paenibacillus polymyxa. RNAcentral describes it as "partial 23S ribosomal RNA". It matches the Rfam family "Bacterial large subunit ribosomal RNA", at positions 1769 to 2372 of the family's 2925-position model. Lineage: Bacteria; Bacillati; Bacillota; Bacilli; Caryophanales; Paenibacillaceae. The record is from RNAcentral.